GCCUACCUAGCUCAGCUGGUAGAGCAGGGCUUUUGUAAAGCUCAGGUCGUCGGUUCAAGUCCGUCGGUAGGCU
Molecule: transfer RNA, 73 nt
Filed under: Cyanophage S-TIM54
Lineage: Duplodnaviria; Heunggongvirae; Uroviricota; Caudoviricetes
Also listed under: 3 other names
Rfam family: tRNA
About the family: Transfer RNA (tRNA) molecules are approximately 80 nucleotides in length.
Source: Rfam by way of RNAcentral